ACACUUAAGCCUAAACGGCUAUAUAUAAUUAACUUAAAACUCUAAAGACUAAAAAUAAUUACCUAAUAACAAAUAAAAUAAAUAAUAAAUAUUUGGAAAUAUCCCAAAUAUUUAUCAGCAUCAUUCGAUGACAAGCUUGACUGUAGGCAUCGAGUUGUCAAUGUAAAACAGAUCGAUUCCCUUUGAAACUUGUUUCUCCUGCGUCGUUGCUUUCAAUCAAUUCUGGCUCUCCUCUCUUCUACUUACAAGGAUUACGACUUCAGGCAGAGCCGGACCUGUAAAAUUGGGGGCCCUAUUCAAAAAAAAAAAAAAAUUGAUAUGUAUAUAUUGUAAUUUAUUUUUUAUAUUAUAAAAUUUGACUAUUAAAAUUUUCAAAUUAGAAACAAUUAAAUCCAUUGAGAUUAUGAUGAGUGCGCAACAAAAUAUAUGUUAAAAUCAGUUACAAUUUUGAAUUCUACCUAAAAACCAAGAAUUUUUUCAGUUUUUUUAACUUUUUUAGUGAAAUGUUACCUGGGUACGUUUGGUCCAGGAGGAAAAAGAGAUAGAAAAUGAUUUAUUAUCACUAAAACGAUAACUACCCAUGGCCCACCUAAUAUUCCAUUGACAUCUCCACAACUAAACUUCUGUUAUCAACGUUGUAUACAUCACAUUAGUUAUAUAAAUAUACAUACAUGUACAUAUAGAAAAAAUUUAGAAGUGGGGGCCCCAUCUCAAUGUUUCGUAACACUAUGUACAGGUCCGGCUCUGACUUCAGGAACAAGUCUGGCCCCUCCUACGGU
This 779-nucleotide long non-coding RNA is filed under the name Brassica napus (rape). Its description in RNAcentral is "long non-coding RNA (BNAP_LNC011812)". Lineage: Eukaryota; Viridiplantae; Streptophyta; Magnoliopsida; Brassicales; Brassicaceae. The record is from RNAcentral.